Molecule: long non-coding RNA, 772 nt
Filed under: Gallus gallus (chicken)
Lineage: Eukaryota; Metazoa; Chordata; Aves; Galliformes; Phasianidae
Source: RNAcentral
CUUCAUCUGUAGCAUAUUCCCCUGUCUCAUCAUCAUCUGCAUCGUACUGUGCAUAAUGCUGCUCCAGGAGCUCUCUCUGGCGGCGUUCUUGUUCCAGAGUUUGGCUAAUCAGCUGCGCAACCUCGCUCACUUGGCCUGGUUUUUCUCGGCCAAUUACAAACCUGACCUUCCCUUUGGUGUUUCUAAGAACAGUUGCAGCAAAAUUUUGUGUAACGCCAACCAGACUGAUGCCAUCAACUUCCACAAUUUGGUCAUUCACUUGGAUCCUGCCAUCUCUUUCCGCUGCCCCACCUUCUGUUACUGUUUUGACAAAUAUUCCCAGUUUUUCAAGGCCUGCAUCUGCUCCAACUCCCAUUCCAAUAAUGCUAAUGCCAAGUCCAUCUUCAUCUUUUUCUAGUUCAACUGGGAAAAGCUCCAGCUUUUCCACACGCUUCUCGAGUUCAUAUUCAGCUGAUGCAGCCACUGGGUCAACUUCAUCAUUUCUCCUGUCAUAGUCUUCAUUGGAGUAUGUAUUGAAAACCUUAAUUGGAGCACGGCUAAACUGUAUUUUUCUGUUGGCUGGGAUCUCAUCUUCAUCUGGCAAUCCAUUAAUCUCCGAGUAUUCCAUAUCAGGUUCGUAACAGUUAUUCUCAUCACUGUCAUCCUGGUCAUCCUGUUCUGUCCCUGUCUCUCCCCAGUCGGAGUUAUACCUCGAUCGUACCCUAUACACGUUGUAGUCAGAGUGCAUGUACACGUGGGAACUCUGGAAAUUAUUCCCAUCCUCAUGUACUUC